UCGAAAUUUUGAUUUUACUAUCCCACCUUUCAAUUUAUUCGAUUCGAAUUAGUCAACUACAUUUCGACUUCAAAUUUGAAUGCAUUUUCGCAACUAUAAAUUCAUUAAAAUAGAUAAUAAUUAGCUUAAAUUUUAUUCCUGAAUUUGGAGCAAUUAUUUAUAUAUUUUGGAAAAGUUUUCGAUUUUCUUAUUUACCUCUCUCUCUUAGAAGUCUAAUAUUAAAAAUAUAUUUUUGACGUUUCAAAUUAUUUUAAAUAUUUUCCCAGAGUUAAAUUCGGUUAGUGAACGGUUAGCUAGGAACAACAGUUAUUUUUAUAAAAUUACUAUUUUAUCAUUUCAAAUAUACUCUUCUAUCAUCACCGAUUUUUCUUAUUUCCUCUUAAGUUAGAGGCAAAAGAGGUAUUUGGACUUCCUUUUAGGUCUGUUAGAAAUUUAAUCCGGGUUUAAUCCGAGAAGACUUAAUGGAUAUUAAUAGCAGAGUUAUUUUUAAAUAACAGAGCAUUUCAGAAGUUUUGAGGGGUAUAUUAGAUAUUAUCUCUAAAUUUUGAAGUUAAAGUAUUGUUGACUGAUUCAAAUUAAAAUUUUAAAACCUUAAGUAGCUGAUUCAAAAUGGUUUAUAGUUUAGAUAAGUUAUGUACAUUCGUUCUGUUGUGCUUUAGACUCCGUCUCAGGUGAAGAUCGAUCGUGUAACAUUUCGCAACAUCAGAGGUACGUCUGCGUCGCCGGAGGCGAUNGUCGGCCUCACCGUCAGGAACUGCACUCUCACCGGCACGACGAACGGGCUCAGAAUAAAGACAUGGCAGUCGGCGCCGUCGCCGUCGUCGGCCUCCGACUUCCAUUUCGAAGACAUUGUCAUGAACAAUGUGUACAACCCCAUCAUCAUAGACCAAAAAUACUGCCCAUUUUCUACUUGUUCCCAAACAGUAACAUCCUACUCUACACCUCUUGUUUUUCGCCUUCUCUUAUCUGCGAUUUCAACAGCAACUGAUCUUUCGAAAUUUUGAUUUUACUGUCCACCCUUUCAAUUUAUUCAAUUUGAAUCAGUCAACUACACAAAUUUGAAUGCAUUUUUUUACUUUAAGUACUCUUUGCAACUAUAAAUUCAUUAACAUAAAUAAUAAUUAGCUUAAAUUUUAUUCCUGAAGUUGGGACAAUUACUUAUAUACCUCUGAAAUGUUUUCGACCUUCUUAUUUAUCUCUCAUAGAAGUUUAAUAUUAAAACUAUAUUUUUGACAUUUCAAAUUAUUUUAAAUAUUUUUUCAGNUCCGGGUUUAAUCCGAGAAGACUUAAUGGAUAUUAAUAGCAGAGUUAUUUUUAAAUAACAGAGCAUUUCAGAAGUUUUGAGGGGUAUAUUAGAUAUUAUCUCUAAAUUUUGAAGUUAAAGUAUUGUUGACUGAUUCAAAUCAAAAUUUUGAAACAUUAGGUAGCUGAUUCAAAAUGGUUUAUAGUUUAGAUAAGUUAUGUACGUUCGUUCUGUUCUACUUUAGGCUCCGUCU
This 1496-nucleotide long non-coding RNA is filed under the name Ananas comosus (pineapple). RNAcentral describes it as "long non-coding RNA (ACOM_LNC027725)". The record is from RNAcentral. Lineage: Eukaryota; Viridiplantae; Streptophyta; Magnoliopsida; Poales; Bromeliaceae.